This is a long non-coding RNA of Erigeron canadensis, 319 nucleotides long. RefSeq lists it as uncharacterized. The transcript has 3 exons. The record is from RefSeq and is a predicted model, not a curated record. NCBI's taxonomy places the organism in Eukaryota, Viridiplantae, Streptophyta, Magnoliopsida, Asterales, Asteraceae.
CCGGUCCCAACCCGACCCUAUAUCGGUUUCAUUGGGUUGGGUUUUUACCCCUUUCAAUUCGGGUUGAACCCGACCCGGGUUGGAGUCAAACCCGGUUUCCUUUCCUUGACCAAAAAUCGAAUCGGGUUGAAACCCGAAACCGGUUUGGUGAAAACCUGAAGUUUGUACACGCCUACCGAUAUCAGCUUGGAAAGAUCGAAGUCCUUAAGAGCUUGGCACAUUAAUUCACUCGGGACACGAUCCAUGCUUAAGCAGUGAAAAUGGCGGUUGCCAAUGGAAUGAAAUUCAAAUUGUAUCCAAGGUAGUCGGGAAUACUUGC